Salmo salar (Atlantic salmon) is the source of this 902-nucleotide non-coding RNA. Lineage: Eukaryota; Metazoa; Chordata; Actinopteri; Salmoniformes; Salmonidae. The record is from RefSeq and is a predicted model, not a curated record.
UCUCUCUCUCUCUCUCUCUCUCUCUCUCUCUCUCUCUCUCUCUCUCUCUCUCUCUCUACUAAUUGGGGAGUUAGUUAUAAGUAUCUUUUGCCAGGCCAUGUUGCUGAAAAUGGGGGAAGGGUGGGAAGUGGUCGGGGCAGAGGAACAAAGACUUGGGGAGGAGCAACUUAAAGCAGCAGGUGAGGGGUUAGAGACCAAGAGCCCUGAAUCAUAAAAGGCUUAGGGUAGUUUUUGAGAGUCUGAAGGUCAGUUUGAACCCUGUUUGACCCCAACCAUGACCAGAACCAUCAGAGGGGUUGUGUUCUAUAUAUGAGGGCCUCUCUUAGGUUUGUAUUGUGCUUGCUUUGGCAGCACAUAUACUAAAAUUGGAUCGAUACAGAGAAGAUUAGCAUGGCCCCUUGGGGGAAGAUAUUGCCCAUUCUUCUCUGUCCAAGGAGGAGGGAAACGGGGGGGUUUUGCUGGGUGAGAGGAGGAGUUUGGCAGCUGCUGUGUGUGUCAACAAUGCAUAUUAAGUAGCCAUGUGCACCAGGUCUAAACAGUGAUGACAAUAGACACAGAGGCCCAGUCUUGGAGUUUUAAUGAAAGACAAUUAUUAUUGCAAUUUAAAUCCAAUGAACAAAUGUCAGCAAUCUUUACAAAUCGAAUAACACACAGUAAUUAAUGUAAUGUUACAGUAUAUAUAUAUAUAUAUUAUAUUGUGUGUGUGUGCAUUCAUACAGGCUCUAUCUAUUUCUUUUAACAGUCAUGUGUAUGUAUAACAUUGGCGCUAGUGCAUCUUGGCCCGACCUGUGGACAGAAAUGUCUAUACUAGCAAAAGGUUCAUCACUAUCCUGUCUGUCUGUCUUUGCUAUACAGUCCUUUAAUUGAACUAUGUAAAUAAAAUGUUAAUGUGCUAAUUAAAA